CACAAUGUCACGAGGAAUUUCCAAUUCUGCGAGGAAAAUGCUUAAUUCAUCAUUUUAUCUGUAAAACAGUAAGUAUACAGAAUCAUCACGCUUUGACAACAAGAACAAGAGAAAGACAUGGAGCAGUUGCAUGAUUGUCGCGUAAUCGAGAUCGUUCUAUAAAUCAGGAAUCCUCUUGAUAUGCUGAGACAAUUUCGCGAAGGAGACACAACCAGAUAAAGACAAGAGCACCAAUGCUACGGAGAUCCAUAUUUACACAUUAUGUUAAUUAUAACAAACACGCGCGUAAUUAUAUUUACUUAACGAGGUCCAGUGACAGCUCGUUUUACACUAAACGCUUUCUGCCUUUCACAUUCCGUCCGCCGUGUAUACAGGAUGCUACAAGCUAUUGUAUUGUGAGCCUUUAGAAAAUA
Long non-coding RNA from Acromyrmex echinatior (Panamanian leafcutter ant), 413 nucleotides. RefSeq lists it as uncharacterized. Lineage: Eukaryota; Metazoa; Arthropoda; Insecta; Hymenoptera; Formicidae. The record is from RefSeq and is a predicted model, not a curated record.